GACGAACGCUGGCGGCGUGCUUAACACAUGCAAGUCGAACGGAAAGGCCCUGCUUUUGUGGGGUGCUCGAGUGGCGAACGGGUGAGUAACACGUGAGUAACCUGCCCUUGACUUUGGGAUAACUUCAGGAAACUGGGGCUAAUACCGGAUAGGAGCUCCUGCUGCAUGGUGGGGGUUGGAAAGUUUCGGCGGUUGGGGAUGGACUCGCGGCUUAUCAGCUUGUUGGUGGGGUAGUGGCUUACCAAGGCUUUGACGGGUAGCCGGCCUGAGAGGGUGACCGGCCACAUUGGGACUGAGAUACGGCCCAGAAGCCAACGGGAGGCAGUAGUGGGGAAGAUUGCACAAUGGGGGGAAGGCUGAGGCAGCAACGCCGCGUGCGGGAUGACGGCCUUCGGGUUGUAAACCGAUUUGGCCUGUGACGAAGCGUGAGUGACGGUAAUGGGUAAAGAAGCACCGGCUAACUACGUG
RNAcentral lists this ribosomal RNA (468 nucleotides) under uncultured bacterium. Its description in RNAcentral is "partial 16S ribosomal RNA". It matches the Rfam family "Bacterial small subunit ribosomal RNA", at positions 28 to 507 of the family's 1533-position model. The record is from RNAcentral.